CAAGAUGCUUAUAUAUAUGGUGUGAUUUUUAUAGGAUGCCUCUGUCACUAAUAAGUUGUGUGACAUUGUGCCAAUCAUUCAACGUCUGUGAACCAAGAGGAGCCAUGACUUUCUCAUCUACAAAAGUGAGACUUCGCGGUCCUCAGCCCCUUAAGCACCUUCUAAGGAUGAACUAG
This 176-nucleotide long non-coding RNA is filed under the name Capra hircus (goat). Its description in RNAcentral is "lncRNA (ENSCHIG00000002473.1)". Lineage: Eukaryota; Metazoa; Chordata; Mammalia; Artiodactyla; Bovidae. The record is from RNAcentral.